UGUGGACGUUACCAAACUGUUGCCUCGGCGGGGUCACGCCCCGGGUGCGUCGCAGCCCCGGAACCAGGCGCCCGCCGGAGGAACCAACCAAACUCUUUCUGUAGUCCCCUCGCGGACGUAUUUCUUACAGCUCUGAGCAAAAAUUCAAAAUGAAUCAAAACUUUCAACAACGGAUCUCUUGGUUCUGGCAUCGAUGAAGAACGCAGCGAAAUGCGAUAAGUAAUGUGAAUUGCAGAAUUCAGUGAAUCAUCGAAUCUUUGAACGCACAUUGCGCCCGCCAGUAUUCUGGCGGGCAUGCCUGUCCGAGCGUCAUUUCAACCCUCGAACCCCUCCGGGGGAUCGGCGUUGGGGAUCGGGACCCCUCACACGGGUGCCGGCCCCGAAAUACAGUGGCGGUCUCGCCGCAGCCUCUCCUGCGCAGUAGUUUGCACAACUCGCACCGGGAGCGCGGCGCGUCCACGUCCGUAAAACACCCAACUUUCUGAAAUGUUGACCUCGGAUCAGGUAGGAAUACCCGCUGAACUUAAGCAUAUCAAA
This 537-nucleotide ribosomal RNA is filed under the name Trichoderma viride. Its description in RNAcentral is "eukaryotic LSU rRNA". The stretch from base 159 to 312 matches the Rfam family "5.8S ribosomal RNA". The record is from RNAcentral. Lineage: Eukaryota; Fungi; Ascomycota; Sordariomycetes; Hypocreales; Hypocreaceae.